Long non-coding RNA from Gasterosteus aculeatus aculeatus (three-spined stickleback), 328 nucleotides. The record is from Ensembl. Lineage: Eukaryota; Metazoa; Chordata; Actinopteri; Perciformes; Gasterosteidae.
UUAACCCAUAAGCUCCUCUGGAUUUCAGGAGUCAUAUUCCUCGGUGUUUUCGUCAUGGUAACAGCGGGGCUGGGAGCAGCACAGCGCCGCUCGAAAACACGCACUUUCCAAUUGACACGUCGGACUGUACCGCUUAUCAACGCGGCUUUCAUCUGCACUGCACUGUACUGUGGGGGCUGGAGGUGCUGCAACACAAUCCACAUUACGUGGGCCUUGUUUGGAGAGAGCCAGCCAACUGCAUAACCUUAAUUAGUCAAGCUGUAUUCAUUCAAGUGAUCACAAUGGCCUGCACAGUAGUGAAGAGAAGCAUCUGUCACUAAAACUCAAA